AUCACUAAGUUUUUAAUCACAAGAUGUGACAGCGUACUGUCUGGCCACCAGAGGGCGAACUGGAGCUGCAGUGUAUUCCAGUGGGAUGUUGGAGACCUGACGCCAUCUUCCUGUAAUCUGGUGUGUUUUUCCUUAGCAAGCGGUGAACUAACAGUGCAGAAAUCAUGGGGAGGAAGAAGAAAAAGCAAAUGAAGCCAUGGUGCUGGUACUGUAACAGAGAUUUUGAUGAUGAAAAAAUUCUCAUUCAGCACCAGAAGGCUAAACAUUUCAAGUGUCACAUCUGUCAUAAAAAGCUGUACACUGGCCCUGGGCUUGCUAUCCACUGUAUGCAGGUACACAAAGAGACCAUUGAUGCAGUUCCUAAUGCAAUACCUGGAAGAACUGAUAUUGAACUAGAGAUAUAUGGCAUGGAGGGUAUUCCAGAAAAAGACAUGGAGGAGAGAAGACGAGUGCUGGAACAGAAGAAUCAAGACUCUCAGAAGAAAAGGCUGAACCAGGAUGACUCUGAUGAAGAUGAGGAGGAUGAAGAGCCUGGCCCUUCCUUCCAGCAGGUGGCUGUAGGUCAGCCUCAGGCAGGUUACAUCCCACAUAUGAACCUGUCGGGUGUGCCUCCUGGCUCUGCCGCUCCAGGGAUACCACCAAGCGGAUACUCAGGAAUACACCCGAUGAUACCAGGUGUCCCACCGAUGAUGCCAGGCCUGCCCCGUGUAAUGCCAGGAAUGCCCCCAGGGAUGAUCCCAGUGGGAGGGAUAAUACCACCAAUGAUGCCAGGUAUGCCACCAGGCAUUCCUCCUCCGGUGUGCCACCGUCCUGGCAUCACCCACAUGCCUCAGGUCCCCCCUGCUGCAAGCAUCCUCACCAGACCUGCAGCCCCUCUUGCUUCUGCCCCAUCAGCCCAGCCCGAUAUCACAAAACCUCUGUUCCCCAGUGCUGGACAGAGUCAGCAGGUGUUGUCAGGGUCCCUUCACACUACCCCAUCCACUACCUCUGACCCCUCAAAGCCCACAUUUCCAGCCUACACUCCGACCACCGUGGGUGUGGCCAGCCCCAAUGCUGGUAGCAGUACUGUCUCCAAACCUCCCUCCACUGUGACCAGUAAGCCCGCCACCCUCACCACCUCCAGUGCAACCAGUAAGUUGAUCCACCCUGAUGAGGAUCUCUCACUGGUAAGUAGUCCAGCUUUAACUGUGUCUUUACAGCUUUUGACAGUAAGGAGGUGCACAGAAGAAGAGAUAGUUUCUGUUAGCAUCACAUUGAUAACAUGUUUCUUAACAAAUUUGUUUUUUCUUGUAGUUGAGUGGCAGAACUGUGGUGUCAAUCAUUUCUGCUCUCAUUGCUUUCUGUGUGCUGUAGGAAGAGUUACGGACUCAGCUGCCCAGGUAUCAGUGCAGUAUGCCCCACCAAGGCCAGGCUGGCGCUGCUGCCCCAUCAGUGGGUCCUGUGGGUGGCAUAAUGGCUCCUCAGCAACUCAGCGUGGGGAAUCGCAUGCCUGGCCAGUAUGGUGGUCCACCACGAGGGAUACCUGGGUACAUACCAGGUCAGAUGUCCCCGUUUGGACAGGCCCCUCCUGUGAUCCCUCCAAGGUAUCAAGGAGUGCCAUCGCGGCCACCAGUGGGUAUAAGACCCCCUUCCAUGUCUCCUGGGGGCCACUACUGAAGUCUGCUUCCUUCUCUUCUAUAGGUGUAUAGAAGUGUAGUAGAUAUGGUUCGUAGUGUUGUGAAGGCGCUGGAGUUACAUUGGCAGUUCCCACCCUUUAUCAAGCGAUGCCAUGGGGGACUGGCUGAGGCCCUGUCUCAGUGUAGCCCUGUUUCAGCCUGAGGCAAGUCUCACUGUUUUCUGUCUUCUCAUUCAUUAGCAGGGGCCCUCACAGCGUACGCGCUGUUGGAUAUCAAUGUCCCCAAACUUGCAGCAAGUUUGGUGAAGGCCCUUGUUUUUUUUAUGUUGCUUUUAUGCAUCAUGUUCUUCAGGCAUGUUAACUCAUGUAAGUGAAAAUUAUUUAUGUUAAGGUGUUUUGUCAUAUCCACCUUUUUUAUUUAGUUAUUUUUAACCAAUGAGAGCACUGGGAAGUUUUGUUUUCAUUUAAUAGUUCUUUCCUGGGUGCUUAAAGCUUUUAAAGGAAACUAUUCCUGUUGAAGCUCUGGAUAUCUCUUAGUCCUGAUGUGGUUUAAGGUGUUUAUUUAUAAGUACCUCCACAUCAGGACCACCGGGAGCAAUCUGACUCCUGCAACUAGUUUAUGAAUUUAAUGUGUGAUUGGAAGUUCAGAUGAAAAGAAAGAGACUUUUCUUGUGUUUGUAAAAAUGGUUUUACCACUUAAUCCUGUUUUUGUCAUCAGCUGUUCCCACUCUUGAUAAUUUGAUUUUUAACUACUCACAUGAAGGACAAUCUCUGCUGAUAACAGGUUUGUUUAAGCUGUAAGUACCGACACCAUCAUUUUAAUUUCUAUGGAGCUGUGUUCUUUCUGUGUGAAAAGAGCCUUACUUAUUACUGCAGCGUUACCCUCUGAUGUCAGCCAGUCAUUUAGUAUCAUCUCAAGGAGUAUAUCAUAAAUAGUUUUCUGGCUACUUGUUUGUCAGUGCUUAAAAUAAUCUAAGGUAUCCAUGCUACAGGCAGGGCCUUGACUGGUAAGUAUGGCCUCAUACAAUUUUGUAAACACCACAUAGUAAUUUACAGGGCGCUUUAUCAAAGUACUUUUCACCAUGUUUUAAUUGUUUUUAAAAUUAAAAUAUGAAAGGCUGGAAAAGCUCAAACUUGCCACCUACUCCUUGUGACAGUCUAACUGAUGAUCUAGAUACAGCCACAGUGCAUGCAAUGAGGCAUAGCAGUGUUUACGCUCUCUGGUUGAGAAAAUAGAGACGAUGUAUGUAUAGGCAUAGGAUGUGUAUAGUUCACUAGAAAUAACCUUUGAACUGCUAAGAAAUUUUCAAGGUUUGACUUGCUUGAAAAAGGAAUAAAUGAUCUCCUCUGUGGCUCCAUCUAUGAUCAAAAGAGGGAGAAAAAUCCCUUUAAGCUGCUUCCAUGUAUAAAAUGUACAGCC
Melanotaenia boesemani (Boeseman's rainbowfish) is the source of this 3035-nucleotide RNA transcript. It is a transcript of the gene named BUB3-interacting and GLEBS motif-containing protein ZNF207-like, with no coding region annotated. The record is from RefSeq and is a predicted model, not a curated record. The transcript has 11 exons. Lineage: Eukaryota; Metazoa; Chordata; Actinopteri; Atheriniformes; Melanotaeniidae.